Vombatus ursinus (common wombat) is the source of this 1546-nucleotide long non-coding RNA. RefSeq lists it as uncharacterized. NCBI's taxonomy places the organism in Eukaryota, Metazoa, Chordata, Mammalia, Diprotodontia, Vombatidae. The record is from RefSeq and is a predicted model, not a curated record. The transcript is spliced from 4 exons.
GGAGCACUGGGGUGGAGUUUGGAGGCUGGGAGGAGUUUAGGGGGAAGAGGGGAUCAUUGCAUUGGAGAAGGCUUUCCACGUGAUGGAGGGGUGGGCUUGGGAAGGAGAGGCAGUCAGGGUCCUUGAGUUUUGGCCCUGGGUGUGAUUGGAGGAAAGGGCUCAGCCAUCCUGGGGGCCUCAAGGGUUGGACCGGGUGGUGUCCUUGGGACUAGGAGGAUCAGAGUGGGCUGGUGGGAAACAGGAAGUCUUUGAGCUGAGACUGCUCUGCCUUCCAGAAGCCCACUCUGUGCAUGCAGAUCCCAGGUUGGAGUCCUUUCCCUGAGGGCAAGGCCUGGGUCUUCCUAACUCCUAUGGGACCUUGCCCUCUGUAAAUUCCAGUUGGGCAGCCUCCUGCCUAUGAAGAGAGGAGAAAGAGCUCUGGGAUCCGUCUCCCUCCCCAGCUCAGUCUGCAGAGGAACAAAACCUACCCCAAGAAGGGAGCCUGGACUGAGAGAGAAUGGCUCCUGGGAGCAGCCAAGCCCCAGCCCAGGUUGUGAAGAAUGUCUGACCAUGAAGAAAGGGGAAUGAGACAUGACAGAAGCUGAGGCAUAGAACAGAAGAAAGGAUGCCUCUCUCAGACUCCUAAGGAGAUUGAUGGCAUCAGAACUAUCUGACAUUCAUUUGGACACCCUAACUCAGAGGAGCUUUACCUGACAUCCAGGAACUUUUUUAGAAAUAUUUGUAUAACUGUAUUUCCAUAUAGUUGGCUUCCCGGACAAUAUUGUUUAUUUUAUGUAUUUAAAAACAUCAUUCUGAGUCAGGGUCCUACAGUUCCCCAGACUGCCAAAGGAGUCCAUGAUUCAAAAAUAAGUUAAGAACCCUUGCCCUAGAUAAUUGUUUGGCCACUGAGAAAAUUAAAGUUAUUCUGUGUCAUUUAACAAUUGAUUCAAUUCUGUAAUUGACUGUUCUGUACUGCUGCUUCAUUUUGUGUCAUUGCUCAGUCCACAUUUUUCCAUUCCGGAGUCAACUCUUCCUCUGAGUUAGUCACAAGUUAACUUGUUAUCAUCCCCAAAAGGUAUAGCGUCCACCCUUGCAAACUUCUUAGUUCCCACCAAACCCUUCUAGGCACCAGGAAGUCUGCCAACUCAGGUCUGCUAACAACACCUGUAAGAUUCAUACAAUUAGGGAAGGGACCAGAACUGGAACCGAGGGUUCCUGAUUUCAACCUUGACUUCCAGCACUCUCUCUACCACACCAUGAGAAGAUAAUGAGCUCACAUCAGGGGCCUUGCACGAUACCAACUCCCUCUGCUCGUUUGCAAUGGGCUCUGUUCUGUUUUUAUUCUUACUUGUCCUAUUUAAUAUGUGGUUCAUUUUGAAAGAGGACUCAAACUGUCCUUUGGCAAAUAGGUGAAAUAUAAAUUGAAAAUAAAUGAUAACUAGUUAUAAAUGAUUUGGAUUUAACUAGAACCUGGAAUAACCCAGUGCCCUUUUACUCUUCCAAUAGUAUAAAUAGACUAAAGUUGCCUUUAUAUAGUGCUCAUGUUUAACUUAAAGUAACAUGAGGU